GGCAGAGGUGGAACAGGAAAUGAAGGAAAACAGGAAGUAGUGAGCGGUUCUGUGACAGAAGGUCAGGAGGUUGUCAUGAAGAAUUUAGAGUUCAUCUAAUAUUACUUGUGUGUGUCAGUGUGAGUCUCCGUGAGUUUACUGUUGCGUUUUGUUUUGUUUGUUUUAUUGCCUCCUGAUUUACUGGUUCUCCAUCUGGAUUUAAGAUGGCUGCCAUUUAAUUCUCUUGUUAAACACAAGCACUCGGCGGUAAAAUUCCUGCGUCCUCGCUCCUCUUCUUUUUGACAGCGAUCCCCCCAGCAGUGUGGCACGACGCGAGAGGAGGCCAUGUUUCGGCCCCAGCGGUGGCCUGUGUUUUAUUUCCAUUGUGGAGAGAUCGUUUCCAGAAGACACUCUUCAAGGACGAUCUGUGGACUGUGACAAAGCGCCGAAGCCAGAGAGGGAGUUAUCAUCACUCAUGACACAUUAUUAUUAGUGUGUACUUUUUGCCCUGGUGGUCUAAUAAAGUAGAGACUCUGUUAAACACUAAACGCUAAUUGCUCAUGAAGAAGUGUGUGCAAUACACAAGUGAUUUAAAGUUUAUGUGUUUAUAAAGCUCAUGUAUGAUCCUGUAUGAUCCUGUAUGUGGCUGUAGAGAGUGUAAACAAUAUACAGAAUUUCUACAUGAAAAUACAAAAAGGAGUCAUUAAUAUGAAUAAACUGAAUCAUUUUGCUGUAAGUGAAUAAAUGAUAAUAAUUCUAUGCUGAGUUUAUUAGACAUACUGAUCUAAUUAUUAAGUCUUUAGGUUUUAUAUGUUUA
Molecule: long non-coding RNA, 796 nt
Organism: Pangasianodon hypophthalmus (striped catfish)
Lineage: Eukaryota; Metazoa; Chordata; Actinopteri; Siluriformes; Pangasiidae
Exons: 3
Source: RefSeq, a predicted model, not a curated record